AUUGAACGCUGGCGGCAUGCCUUACACAUGCAAGUCGAACGGCAGCACGGGAGCAAUCCUGGUGGCGAGUGGCGAACGGGUGAGUAAUAUAUCGGAACGUGCCCAGUCGUGGGGGAUAACGCAGCGAAAGCUGUGCUAAUACCGCAUACGAUCUCUGGAUGAAAGCGGGGGGCCGUAAGGCCUCGCGCGAUUGGCGCGGCCGAUAUCAGAUUAGCUAGUUGGUGGGGCAAAGGCCCACCAAGGCGACGAUCUGUAGCUGGUCUGAGAGGACGACCAGCCACACUGGAACUGAGACACGGUCCAGACUCCUACGGGAGGCAGCAGUGGGGAAUUUUGGACAAUGGGCGCAAGCCUGAUCCAGCAAUGCCGCGUGCAGGAUGAAGGCCUUCGGGUUGUAAACUGCUUUUGUACGGAACGAAACGGCGAGCUCUAAUAAAGUUUGCUAAUGACGGUACCGUAAGAAUAAGCACCGGCUAACUACGUGCCAGCCGCCGCGGUAA
Molecule: ribosomal RNA, 500 nt
Filed under: uncultured bacterium
Lineage: Bacteria
Description: partial 16S ribosomal RNA
Rfam family: Bacterial small subunit ribosomal RNA
Source: RNAcentral